GGCUGAAACUCAAAGGAAUUGACGGGGCCCGCACAAGCGGUGGAGUAUGUGGUUUAAUUCGACGCAACGCGAAGAACCUUACCAAGCCUUGACAUUCAGGUGGUGCACGGCUGUCGUCAGCUCGUGUCGUGAGAUGUUGGGUUAAGUCCCGCAACGAGCGCAACCCCUAUCUUCUGUUACGACUCAGGAGAGACUGCCGCAGACAAUGCGGAGGAAGGCGGGGAUGACGUCAAGUCAUCAUGCCCCUUAUGGCUUGGGCUACACACGUACUACAAUGGCUCUUAUAGAGGGAGGCGAGGAGCGAUCCAGAGCAAACCCCAAAAACAGAGUCCCAGUUCGGAUUGCAGGCUGCAACCCGCCUGCAUGAAGCAGGAAUCGCUAGUAAUCGCAGGUCAGCAUACUGCGGUGAAUACGUUCCCGGGCCUUGUACACACCGCCCGUCACACCACGAAAGUCAUUCACACCCGAAGCCGGCGUCGAAGGUGGGGGCGAUGAUUGGGGGUGUCUAACAAGGUACCGAGGGC
Molecule: ribosomal RNA, 524 nt
Filed under: uncultured bacterium
Lineage: Bacteria
Description: bacterial SSU rRNA
Rfam family: Bacterial small subunit ribosomal RNA
Source: RNAcentral